This 456-nucleotide ribosomal RNA is filed under the name Coniochaeta boothii. RNAcentral describes it as "eukaryotic LSU rRNA". It matches the Rfam family "Eukaryotic large subunit ribosomal RNA", at positions 107 to 575 of the family's 3401-position model. Lineage: Eukaryota; Fungi; Ascomycota; Sordariomycetes; Coniochaetales; Coniochaetaceae. The record is from RNAcentral.
GCUCAAAUUUGAAAUCUGGCUUCGGCCCGAGUUGUAAUUUGUAGAGGAUGCUUUUGGUGCGGUGCCUUCUGAGUUCCCUGGAACGGGACGCCAGAGAGGGUGAGAGCCCCGUAUAGUUGGACACCAAGCCUUUGUAAAGCUCCUUCGACGAGUCGAGUAGUUUGGGAAUGCUGCUCUAAAUGGGAGGUAUAUCUCUUCUAAAGCUAAAUAUUGGCCAGAGACCGAUAGCGCACAAGUAGAGUGAUCGAAAGAUGAAAAGCACUUUGAAAAGAGGGUUAAAUAGUACGUGAAAUUGUUGAAAGGGAAGGGCUUGUGACCAGACUUGUGCCGGGCUGAUCAUCCAGGGUUCUCCCUGGUGCACUCUGCCCGGCUCAGGCCAGCGUCGGUUCUGGUAGGGGGACAAAAGCUUAGGGAACGUGGCUCCUCCGGGAGUGUUAUAGCCCUUUGCUCAAUACC